GUAAAUAAUAAAAUCAAGUUGGCAGGCUGGUAAUGUGCUUGAAAUUGAUUUUUUGUAGCAGCAGGACAACAAGCGAGACGGAGUGAGGACCAGGGAUAGACACAGGAACAGGCACUGGGUACGGACAGGACCAACAAUUGGCUACGGGGAGCAGCGGGAUGUCUCGGUAAAUAUUUGGUCAAAAAAUUGCCGUACAGGUGUUGAGUUCUCUGUUUGUUUAGUUUGUAGCUGGAGUCGGGCAUGGAUUUAAGGCAGUUUCAGUGGAUCUCUCGAGGACACCACGGAUAAGGGCUUCAAUUUUCACUCACAGUCGGGCACUCGCCAUGCAAAGUAGAAUUUGUUUCGGAGCUGGCGCUGUCAGCUGAAAUGCUUGCGCUGGAAAGCAACGAAAUCCCCUAAAUCAAUAAAAGUUUCGAUGGCUU
This 422-nucleotide long non-coding RNA is filed under the name Drosophila guanche. The record is from RNAcentral. Lineage: Eukaryota; Metazoa; Arthropoda; Insecta; Diptera; Drosophilidae.